Salvelinus namaycush (lake trout) is the source of this 2213-nucleotide long non-coding RNA. RefSeq lists it as uncharacterized. NCBI's taxonomy places the organism in Eukaryota, Metazoa, Chordata, Actinopteri, Salmoniformes, Salmonidae. The record is from RefSeq and is a predicted model, not a curated record. The transcript is spliced from 4 exons.
GAUUAGCCUACGGGCCGUCUAUUGUCACAAAAACAGGAAGAAACCCUGGAUAGAAUAGCCGAAAAGAUGGGUAAAAGAGGGGACAAAGCUUUGCGCACGUGAAAUAAACAAACGUGCGAGGCGAAAGGGACUCGCAUAGAAGGACUCGCAUAGAAUUCCCCAAAGUUUGAAAUGAUGCUGUGUUCCCGAAGAAGGUUCCAAACACAACAGCUGCUGCUUCUCUUUUAGAUUGAGCUUCAAGGUAAAAGUCCUUCAAGGGAGUGAGCGACUGUGCAAACGGAUCGUGCCAUACUGAAAGGAACAUCAUGGCACGUCGCCCCUCCUUUGGAAUAAAGAGCAUCACCUUGUCACGCAGUCAGAAUCGACAGAGGGUUGUGGUGUCAUGUGUAAAAUAAAUGUCUCUGUUUGUAUAAGCUUAGUCACAGCAGCACCCAUGACAUCGUGACGUCAGCACCGUCACACAAGGUGCGGCUCACAACGGCCACGACCUGGAUUUAUUUGACCGUUGACAUCCGAAUAAUGUAGUCUUCAGGAGUAAUAAUAAUGACACAAAAAAUACUGAUUAUCAAAACUCCCAGCUUAGGUAUGUACUUCUAUGACCUAUGCAUUUGUCUACAAGGUAAGGGUUGCUAUUAUGCCUGUGUCAGUAGGUUAAGGGCAAGACAGACCAACACGAAUGUCGGCUGUGCACGGUGGACCACCUACUGGGUGACGACGAAUGGUGGCGAUUCAACAUGUAGAGUCGUUGGGAAAUGAUCAGAAAAUCACGGCCUGUGUACUGUUGUCAGCGGUGAUAUGACGUCCAACCGCUGCACACCUGCUGUGCACGGCCGACGUUCCUGUUGGUCUGUCUUGGCCUUAAGGAUAUAUGAGCUUCGCCUGUGUCCGUAGCUGAAGAUAUCCACUGUGCUAUGAGUUAUGCCUGUGUCAGAGAUGAUCAACAUGCCUGUGCUUGUGUCCUCACUGCCCUGGCCUGGACCCAGAGGACAUAUUUACAGGGUGUACUAAGCUUAACGCCACGCUGCUCUCCUCUCCACCUCACUCAGCUAACCUUAAUCCCUCCUACCCAGCAGCCCACACAGCUCUGAGGGUCAACGGAAACAGAAUCAAUACUUUAUGAAUAUGUAUAUAAUGUAUAAUGUCAUUCUCAAGUCCAAAUGUAUUUGUGAUGCCAUUGGUGUUUGAUUGUCAAUGUUCUUAUUGUCAUAUUCAGAAGCUAAGGUGAAGCUAGCUGUGUUAUGCUACGCUGGGCAAAAAGGUUUUGGACGUACUUGAUCAAGUGCCCCGUCCUUUACUAGUCUUUUCAUUUAUGUAUGUGGAUUCUGUGUGUGUGUGUGUGUGAGACCACAUGGCAAGUUUACCUCAGAUGACCCCGCAGACAUGAGGCGUCCGAGCCGAAUUCAAGCCGUGACAAAUGGGUUCUGGGGCUGAACAGCAGACAUUCCACAACAUGUACCUCUUCAACAGCUCCUUCCUCUCCUUCCUCUCCUUCCUCUCCUUAUCCCUUCCUACACUUCUCCUCUAAACAUCUAUCUCUUCCAAGGUUGUACGGAUGCACUGAUCGAUCAAACAUAAACCUGUUGUAUGUAUCGGAAGAGGUUGUGGGAAUCUGGUGUUAGUAGAAAAAGAGAAGUGAACCCCUUGGAUGUUAGUAUCAUCAACUUUUCUUGAUCAGUGAUGUAGAGGCUGAGAGAAAAUAUAGUGCUGUGUUUAAUCAGGGGUGUGUAGGUUGUAGCAUCCUAUCCUCCUCCCCCUGCAAUAUCCCUCCAUUUCUUUAGCCCUACCUCUUCCCUAACCUCCAUCUCUUGCUACCCCCCUCCCUCUCUUCCCUGUUUCUCUCUGAUUUUCCAGAAUGUUCCUCCACAGAAUCCUGCCACCUGUGUCAGUGCAAAAAAAAAAAAGGCUAUUGGUAUUCCUCUUUGAGGCUGGUUAAGGUAAGUGCCAGCCCCCAUUACGAUGACAAGGCAAGUAAUGAUGCCGCUUGUUCCCGCGGUUCCCCAUGAUUUAUUUAUGCUUUCCCAGGGAGUGAUCCUACCACCUCCAUCCCCAGUCCUACCCACUCUCUACAUUUUUUAAGAACACAUGCAGUCGCCACAGGUUAACGUCAGCGCCGCCAUUGCAUGUCACAGGCAGACCAUACGGGAACGUAGGAGGCUGAUGCAAUGAUGUGCUGUGGAUACCCUGAGUUUUAAUCAUGUGUAAUAGCAUUACUG